UAGGAUCGACCCUCAACGUGGGACUGCUAGCUACUAUAGCUGGUUUUACAAGGCUUAACUGCGGCGACGACGGCCCUCCGAACGAGAUCCAUCGAGUCUUAUCAUGGUUCGCCGACAACUCGCGCGCUCCGUCUCACGUCGCGGGCUUCGGAGGCAUGCCUAUGGUGACCUCGCCGAUGGGGACAGCCUCGAACUGCUUCGCCCGUUCGCUCGGUGCGGACUCCACGUCCUCGCCGGGCAGCUCCCCGGUCGCGGGCAUCCAUUUGUACACGCUGCUCUUGUUCUUCCCCUCCGCGGGGGUCCACCUGCGAGGCGCGCGGGAGGAGGAGGAGGAGGAGGGUGGGGGUCGCGGUGAGCCGAGAUUUCGGGCACCCGCGCGGUUCAGAUUCGCGAACGGGCGGGCGGGCGGUGUGCUCCGGACGCGCGGUUGGGAUUGGACGACUCACUUCUUCUCCCAGUGCCUGACGCGCCCAUCCAGGAUCUGCGCCUGCGAGCGGGCGGCCUCGCGCUGGCCGCGCGUCGACAUCGUUCACGCGCGCUCGCCGGAGUGACGAAGAAACCUAAAAAGCACAGCUGUGGCUCGCUCGACGUUGUGUAACAAUUUCGCGACGCGAACCCGCCUCCGGCGCAAAGCGCGAGG
This 640-nucleotide long non-coding RNA is filed under the name Micromonas commoda. RNAcentral's name for it is "long non-coding RNA (MCOM_LNC000387)". Lineage: Eukaryota; Viridiplantae; Chlorophyta; Mamiellophyceae; Mamiellales; Mamiellaceae. The record is from RNAcentral.